UGGGGAAUAUUGGACAAUGGGGGCAACCCUGAUCCAGCGAUGCCGCGUGAGUGAAGAAGGCCUUCGGGUCGUAAAGCUCUUUAGGUUGGGAAGAAGUGCAUUCGGUGCAUAGCCGAGUGUGUUGACGGUACCGACAGAAUAAGCACCGGCAAACUCUGUGCCAGCAGCCGCGGUAAUACAGAGGGUGCGAGCGUUAAUCGGAGUUACUGGGCGUAAAGGGCGCGUAGGCGGUAAGAUGUGUGUGAUGUGAAAGCCCCGGGCUUAACCUGGGAAGUGCAUCGCAAACUGUCUUGCUAGAGUAUAUGAGAGGGUGGUGGAAUUUCCGGUGUAGCGGUGAAAUGCGUAGAGAUCGGAAGGAACGUCAAUGGCGAAGGCAGCCACCUGGCAUAAUACUGACGCUGAGGCGCGAAAGCGUGGGGAGCGAACAGGAUUAGAUACCCGCGUAGUCC
This 449-nucleotide ribosomal RNA is filed under the name uncultured bacterium. Its description in RNAcentral is "bacterial SSU rRNA". It matches the Rfam family "Bacterial small subunit ribosomal RNA", at positions 355 to 796 of the family's 1533-position model. The record is from RNAcentral.